Long non-coding RNA from Ctenopharyngodon idella (grass carp), 1430 nucleotides. RefSeq lists it as uncharacterized. Lineage: Eukaryota; Metazoa; Chordata; Actinopteri; Cypriniformes; Xenocyprididae. The record is from RefSeq and is a predicted model, not a curated record. The transcript is spliced from 3 exons.
UUUAGAUUGUCGGUGUGGUGAUUGCUUGUUGAGUGGGCGGUGGCGACAGCUAGAUUGUGACUGGAGCGCUGAUGGUAGGAAGUAGUGUAGAUUCCGGAAGCGAUCCGGAAAUGGAGGAUGAAAUGGCUGAUGCAGAUAGUGGAGGCAAUGCAAGUAAUGAAUGGAAAGUGGUAGAAACUCAGAAAAGAAAGAAAAGUUGGGGACAAAUCUCAGAAAUGGACAGUGAAAAGGGAAAUCACCAGGCAAGAAGGAGGAAAGAGGAAUAUAAGAAAUCUUUGUUAAGCUGGCGUUUGUUCGGGCGGAUGCUGCAUCCGUAUAUGGUCCAUAGCUGGUCCUCUGCUGUGUUUCUCCGCAUUUGAGCAUUGCAGAUGAAGCCUGUUUGGGUGAUUCCUGCUAUCUGUAUGCGACCUAUUAAAGUAAGGGCUGCUGGAUAGAUGAUUUGGUCCGCAUUAUCUGGUGUUUAAACCAGCCUGUGAGCGUGUCUGCUUCUGUGCUUCCGGCCCUGCAUGGCUUAUGCAGGGAUUACAGCAUGGCUUGCAAUUUCAACACUGCUGUUUUGCCUUUACGUGAUAUUUAAUUAAUCUGUUUUGCCUUAAUAUUGCUUUCAUUAUUAUGUUUGGCAUUUAUUAUUUUGUUUUCCUUUAAUGUAUGUUUUGUAUGCAAGUCUUGUGCUUGUAGUCAAUUUAUUUGUCUGAUUUGUAUUUAUUUGUUUUGCAUGCAAGUCUUGUGUUUGCAGUUAAUUUGGUUGGUUUGUAAUUUGUCUUGCCUGAAUGUAUGUUUUGUAUUUAAGUUCUUUUGUUUGUAAUUUGUUUGGUUUGCAUUUAUUAAUGUGAUUUGCUUUAAUUUACUUUUGUAUUUAAGUCUUUCUUUUGUUUGCAGUUAAUUCAUUUGGUUUUGGAUUUGCGUUUAAUCUUUUUGUUUACAUUUAAGCUUGUUGCAUUGUGAAUGUUUGUUUUGCAGUCAAGCAUUCUGUUAUUUAAUAAUUCCUUUUUUCCCCCCUUUAUUACUUUUUGUUUUGUGGCAAUAAGUUUGUUUGUGUUAUUUGUGAUUUGAUUGUUUGUAUAAUAAUUCUCUUCAUGUCUUUUGUGGGAGCUGGGGGCUUGGAGAAGGCAGGCUGGCUGUUCCCAUGUGGCAUUAGCCCUGUUCACCAAAGUGGUGUGGAUUUGCAGUGAAUUUCCUGGGGUCUAAGUGUGGUUUUGUGCACGUGUGGGUAUUAAGUAGUACAGGCCUUAUUGAAGCCUGGUGUCUAGCCGCCUCCCUAUUGCGAAUCCCCUGCUCUUUUUUUUUUUUUUGUUAACUCUUGUCCUGUUGUCUCGUGUGUACUCUUGGGCAGCUUGUUGUACUUGAUAUGUAUAAUUUUCCAUUUUUAUUGAAUGAGACAAAUUUUAACUGAGAUUGUUUAAUAAAGAUUUGUAUUUUUAUACAAGGUA